GUAGGUGGCAAGCGUUGUCCGGAAUUAUUGGGCGUAAAGCGCGCGCAGGCGGUUCUUUAAGUCUGAUGUGAAAGCCCACGGGCUCAACCGUGGAGGGUCAUUGGAAACUGGAGAACUUGAGUACAGAAGAGGAAAGCGGAAUUCCACGUGUAGCGGUGAAAUGCGUAGAGAUGUGGAGGAACACCAGUGGCGAAGGCGGCUUUCUGGUCUGUAACUGACGCUGAGGCGCGAAAGCGUGGGGAGCAAACAGGAUUAGAUACCCUGGUAGUCCACGCCGUAAACGAUGAGUGCUAAGUGUUAGGGGGUUUCCGCCCCUUAGUGCUGCAGCUAACGCAUUAAGCACUCCGCCUGGGGGGUACGGCCGCAAAGGCUG
RNAcentral lists this ribosomal RNA (373 nucleotides) under uncultured organism. RNAcentral's name for it is "partial 16S ribosomal RNA". It matches the Rfam family "Bacterial small subunit ribosomal RNA", at positions 527 to 896 of the family's 1533-position model. The record is from RNAcentral.